This 253-nucleotide ribosomal RNA is filed under the name uncultured bacterium. Its description in RNAcentral is "partial 16S ribosomal RNA". It matches the Rfam family "Bacterial small subunit ribosomal RNA", at positions 524 to 776 of the family's 1533-position model. The record is from RNAcentral.
UACAGAGGUCUCAAGCGUUGUUCGGAUUCAUUGGGCGUAAAGGGUGCGUUGGCGGCGCGGUAAGUCGGGUGUGAAAUCUUGGAGCUUAACUCCGAAACUGCAUUCGAUACUGCCGUGCUUGAGGACUGGAGAGGAGACUGGAAUUUACGGUGUAGCGGUGAAAUGCGUAGAUAUCGUAAGGAAGACCAGUGGCGAAGGCGGGUCUCUGGACAGUUCCUGACGCUGAGGCACGAAGGUCAGGGGAGCAAACGGG